RNAcentral lists this ribosomal RNA (539 nucleotides) under uncultured bacterium. RNAcentral describes it as "bacterial SSU rRNA". It matches the Rfam family "Bacterial small subunit ribosomal RNA", at positions 356 to 896 of the family's 1533-position model. The record is from RNAcentral.
GAGGAAUAUUGGUCAAUGGGCGCAAGCCUGAACCAGCCAAGUAGCGUGCAGGAAGACGGCCCUAUGGGUUGUAAACUGCUUUUAUACGAGAAUAAUUUGAUGCACGUGUGCGUUAUUGCAUGUAUCGUAUGAAUAAGGACCGGCUAAUUCCGUGCCAGCAGCCGCGGUAAUACGGAAGGUCCAGGCGUUAUCCGGAUUUAUUGGGUUUAAAGGGAGUGUAGGCGGUUUGUUAAGCGUGUUGUGAAAUUUAGGUGCUCAACAUUUAACUUGCAGCGCGAACUGUCAGACUUGAGUACACGCAACGUAUGCGGAAUUCAUGGUGUAGUGGUGAAAUGCUUAGAUAUCAUGAAGAACUCCGAUUGCGAAGGCAGCAUACGGGAGUGUAACUGACGCUUAAGCUCGAAGGUGCGGGUAUCGAACAGGAUUAGAUACCCUGGUAGUCCGCACAGUAAACGAUGGAUGCCCGCUGUUAGCGCCUGGCGUUAGCGGCUAAGCGAAAGCAUUAAGCAUCCCACCUGGGGAGUACGCCGGCAACGGUG